RNAcentral lists this ribosomal RNA (467 nucleotides) under uncultured bacterium. RNAcentral's name for it is "partial 16S ribosomal RNA". It matches the Rfam family "Bacterial small subunit ribosomal RNA", at positions 28 to 507 of the family's 1533-position model. The record is from RNAcentral.
GACGAACGCUGGCGGCGUGCUUAACACAUGCAAGUCGAACGGAAAGGCCCUGCUUUUGUGGGGUGCUCGAGUGGCGAACGGGUGAGUAACACGUGAGUAACCUGCCCUUGACUUUGGGAUAACUUCAGGAAACUGGGGCUAAUACCGGAUAGGAGCUCCUGCUGCAUGGUGGGGGUUGGAAAGUUUCGGCGGUUGGGGAUGGACUCGCGGCUUAUCAGCUUGUUGGUGGGGUAGUGGCUUACCAAGGCUUUGACGGGUAGCCGGCCUGAGAGGGUGACCGGCCACAUUGGGACUGAGAUACGGCCCAGACUCCUACGGGAGGCAGCAGUGGGGAAUAUUGCACAAUGGGCGGAAGCCUGAUGCAGCAACGCCGCGUGCGGGAUGAAGGCCUUCGGGUUGUAAACCGCUUUCGCCUGUGACGAAGCGUGAGUGACGUAAUGGGUAAAGAAGCACCGGCUAACUACGUG